Long non-coding RNA from Helianthus annuus (common sunflower), 502 nucleotides. RefSeq lists it as uncharacterized. NCBI's taxonomy places the organism in Eukaryota, Viridiplantae, Streptophyta, Magnoliopsida, Asterales, Asteraceae. The record is from RefSeq and is a predicted model, not a curated record. The transcript is spliced from 3 exons.
GAGAGAGAGAGGGAGGACCGACGGUCGAAGACUCGGACCGCCGGUCAGUCUCUUUGUCCGGUGGUCGACAUCAAAAGUCCGGCGAGAGAGGCGGAGUUAGGCGGCGGUGACUGUGGUCCGACAAGUUCUCCGAGUCGGAGGUGACCGACUGUGGCAGCCGACGGCAACUUCUGUGAUGGUGGUGGCGGCUCAGGUCAAACACGGGUCAGACGGGUCUUGUUUCAAGUUUCGGGUCUUGGUUCGAGUCCACUCGAUUAAACCGAGUUAACUCGGUUCAGUUUCAGAAGCCGUACGGGUUGACUCGGUCAACUCAGCUUACGGGUCAACUCGGUCCGGGUCAACAGUGGUCAACAAGAUCAGACCAGGUGACGUUUCGGGUUCGGGACUCGGUUCGGUUCAGGUCAACGAUACGGUUCAAGUCGACCCGGUUAAACCGAGCUCAUUCGGUUCGGGUCUUGGUCAAAGGCAGUCAACAAGUCAACGACUCGGGUCAAUUCAGUCA